Molecule: ribosomal RNA, 496 nt
Filed under: uncultured bacterium
Lineage: Bacteria
Description: partial 16S ribosomal RNA
Rfam family: Bacterial small subunit ribosomal RNA
Source: RNAcentral
GAUGAACGCUGGCGGCGUGCCUAAUACAUGCAAGUCGAACGCAUAGCGAAAGGUGCUUGCACCUUUCAAGUGAGUGGCGAACGGGUGAGUAACACGUGGACAACCUGCCUCAAGGCUGGGGAUAACAUUUGGAAACAGAUGCUAAUACCGAAUAAAACUUAGUGUCGCAUGACACAAAGUUAAAAGGCGCUUCGGCGUCACCUAGAGAUGGAUCCGCGGUGCAUUAGUUAGUUGGUGGGGUAAAGGCCUACCAAGACAAUGAUGCAUAGCCGAGUUGAGAGACUGAUCGGCCACAUUGGGACUGAGACACGGCCCAAACUCUACGGGAGGCUGCAGUAGGGAAUCUUCCACAAUGGGCGAAAGCCUGAUGGAGCAACGCCGCGUGUGUGAUGAAGGCUUUCGGGUCGUAAAGCACUGUUGUAUGGGAAGAACAGCUAGAAUAGGAAAUGAUUUUAGUUUGACGGUACCAUACCAGAAAGGGACGGCUAAAUACGUG